This 184-nucleotide non-coding RNA is filed under the name Desulfitobacterium metallireducens. RNAcentral's name for it is "GlcN6P sequence". It matches the Rfam family "glmS glucosamine-6-phosphate activated ribozyme aptamer". From Rfam's summary of the family: This entry contains a glucosamine-6-phosphate activated ribozyme that is found in the mRNA for GlmS. GlmS is an enzyme that uses fructose-6-phosphate and glutamine to generate glucosamine-6-phosphate. RNAcentral also lists the same sequence under 1 other name. The record is from RNAcentral. Lineage: Bacteria; Bacillati; Bacillota; Clostridia; Eubacteriales; Desulfitobacteriaceae.
CAAGUAUAUGAAGCGCCUGGACCAUAAUCAAGACUCGAGGUCAAAACUUGGAGAUCUUGAUUACGGUUGACGAGGAAGAGGGUUAUCGAAGAUUUCGGCGGGUCCCUCUCGGUGUCUUGACAUCGUAAGGCUUAUGACAAAACCGCGAAGCAAUUUGCGAAACAAAACGUAAGUCUCAAGACAA